GACGAACGCUGGCGGCGUGCUUAACACAUGCAAGUCGAGCGGUAAGGCCCUUUCGGGGGUACACGAGCGGUGAACGGGUGAGUAACACGUGGGUGACCUGCCCUCAGCUCUGGGAUAAGCCUGGGAAACCGGGUCUAAUACUGGAUAUGACUCCAUGACGCAUGUUGUGGGGUGGAAAGCCUUGUGCGGCUGAGGAUGGGCCCGCGGCCUAUCAGCUUGUUGGUGGGGUGANGGCCUACCAAGGCGACGACGGGUAGCCGGCCUGAGAGGGCGACCGGCCACACUGGGACUGAGACACGGGCCCAGACUCCUACGGGAGGCAGCAGUGGGGAAUCUUGCGCAAUGGGCGAAAGCCUGACGCAGCGACGCCGCGUGAGGGA
RNAcentral lists this ribosomal RNA (380 nucleotides) under uncultured bacterium. Its description in RNAcentral is "bacterial SSU rRNA". It matches the Rfam family "Bacterial small subunit ribosomal RNA", at positions 28 to 408 of the family's 1533-position model. The record is from RNAcentral.